This is a long non-coding RNA of Chelonia mydas (Green sea turtle), 6127 nucleotides long. RefSeq lists it as uncharacterized. NCBI's taxonomy places the organism in Eukaryota, Metazoa, Chordata, Testudines, Cheloniidae. The transcript has 5 exons. The record is from RefSeq and is a predicted model, not a curated record.
GCUAGGAAGGAAAAGGAAACAGAGAGGCUCGCCCUGACUCCCAGGCAGAUGGCCUACAGAGUAUAAUCCUGUAGAGAGUAGAUAGGCUCCUGAAGAUAACCCUGGGUCAAGUGGAAAAGGACAUGUUUGAUAUAUUUUCUGUUAUUCUGAAGUCCUUGAAGAAAAGGGACUGGAAUCCUGUGGCUGGAGUGCUCUUUGGUGCAUAGGCUGGUAAAUUAGCCUGCUGCUUAUAUACUAUUUUUGUAAAAUGUGUUUCUGAAGUGAUUCUGAACAUCAACAGUGGUGCGCAGGGGCAAAACAGGGCUUGUGUGUUACAAAGGGCUACAGGAGAAAUGUGCGGUGGGUCCUCUAGUGGAGUCUCCAUGCCAAUUUAGGCUAAAGUGGAGAGACUGCACGAUCUGUGCUUCCCUGGCUCCAGUGGCCCUAUGAAUCAGUGCAAGAGGCACAGAAGAACUGCAGAUACUAUACCAGCCUUGGCUGCAAGGCCUCCUCUGAAGCACUGUGUCAUGACCAGGAGGUAGACUGUGCUUCCUGCAUGGCUUUAUGAUGCUGGGGUAAAUUUCAACAUUAAUUAUUUCAAUCUGAUUCCUUCAUAUUACCCAAGAUUCAAGUGAGAACAUGCUACAUUUUCCAUUUGACUGAAACAGUACAGAAGGCCAGCUGCCACCACACUCCAAGAAAGCCCCUGUAAGUUCCUUUGUAUAACGGUUACAUACCCUGUCCUUUCCUGAAGGCGUGGGGAGGGACUAUUAAUUUUUUAAGGUAUGCAUGGGGUCGGGGAGAAAUAGAUUUUAAAAUCAACACUUAUUCUAGAAGAUUCUUUUGCUAGGAUAUUUCCCUUAGUCAAAUACAGGUUCUCCUACUGGGUCACACAAGUUAGAUUGGAUUAGAAAUAAGGAUGGUAACAUGCCCUGCCUUCCUUCAGCCACAUUUACAUUUGGAUUAUGGUUUAAUGUGAUCUGUGCAGUGGUGCUGGAACUAGAGAUACUGGAGGUGCAGCCGCACCCCUUGGCUUGAAGUUUUAACACCAAAUACAUGGUUUCCAUCAGCAGCACCCCCACUAUAAAUAUUGCUACAGCACCCCUGGAGCCAUGUACAUUUAAGCAUGAAUUCACCCAACCGAUCCCCUCUAGCACACUGUCACCCCUGCUCAUCUUAUGUCAAAAGUGGAAGUGUAUGGCCAUACAUUCAAUUAGGACACUGACACCGUUUGAAACAGAUGAGAUUUGAGGUCUAGAUGAGAUGGGAUCUAGGAGAAGCCAAGCCUUCCUCAGUUGAAGGAUCAUUAGGAUGCCAUAUGGGGUUAUGGGUCAGGGGAAAAGAGACAAAAAGUGAACAGACUGUAGCCUCAAAGCACCGGGGGAGGGAGGGGGAGAGGGGAUUAGACAAUAUAAGAACUGUUAGAAGUAACAAAAUAUUGAAAGUUUCAAUGUGGAUUCUUGACAGUAUAAAAGGAUAGGACUGUCAAAUUUAAGACUUACCUGCUAGUGCAACUGGUGCAGUUUCAGAUGUUGUUUAAUAUGUAUUCAAAUUUAUGUCCAGCUGACAAACAAGAUUUAAAGCAGAUAAUACUUUGUACAGAGUCUCAGCAUAAGAAUAAAAAUAUGCUUGUACAGAAGAUAUACUAUUGCAGCAAGCUACACCUUAGGAUCAUGAAAACUGAAACUGUAUUUACAAAGAUUAUUCACAGCUAAAUGCAAUAUUGCUUUCAUUUAUGAUAAAUUCCUGCAUAUGGUUUUUGUGCACAUUACAUAUGAGUUAGUUCUAGAAGAGCAAGUCAACUAACCUAUUUUGAAGACCCUGUUUUCAAAAGGGAAUGUUAUUUCAUUGUAAUAAAAAACACAGUUUGCUACACAAUGCAAGAAAUCUAUCAUGUCUAAAUGCAUUAAGCAUUACAGAAGUCAAGUCUCACAUGUCCAUAAAAGCCAGCAACUCAUAAAUUCAGCUUCCCACAACAGUUACCCCAGGUCAAGUGCUAGUAUAAAUGGCACCAAAAUUAGCCAAACAUAAGCCAGGUCUAGACUGGGUAGUUAAGAUUACACCAUCAAGUGCCACACAAGUGAAUUAAGUAUAAUUGCCAAAACUAAUAAAAAAUGGGGCUUAAAAUACAUAAAAUAGUCUCUUAAGUGAUUUGCCAGAUGUCCAUAAGACAAUCUUUGGCAAAGAGUUUCACAUUUUGGAGAUAUGUAGACAUAAGCUUGUCAAAGAUCUAAAUUUUCCAAGAGACUGUAUGCUAUUAACUGGUGCUUUAUUUUUGGUAUCUGGAAAUCCAUACAUGUUUAGUCACAGAAGUAAUUCUUUAAAGUAAAACUGACAUAUUAUAUUGUAGAACUUCAUUUCCAGAUUUUAUUUGAUUAUUAAUAGAUAUAAUGGUUUGAAUUCUUGUACCAACUUGAUAUUUUAAGGACAUCUUGUAUGUUUACAGAAGUGUUAAAUAUAGAGUAAAGUGAACUUCCAUAAAGCAAUAAGAUAUUUUAGCAUGAUCCUUGGCUUCAGAUACUGAAAGAGACAAAGGGGUGGCUGUACAAAUAAUAUGAAAAUAUCAUUACAACUCUUUAAGCAACACUGCAAAUAUCUUGUAGUCUUUCCUGAGCCAGCAAACAGCUGAAGGAUGAAAAUAAAUGCUUACACAUCUGCAUCAUAACAGACGUUAAGACAAAUUAUUUUAUUCUACCACUGGCAAUAGUUUCCUUUUUUAAAAAGCCUCAUUGUACAGAAUCAGAUCAACAAAGCCACCUUCAGACAGACUGCAUCAAGGUCAGAGUUGGAAACGUGUUUGCAAAGUAGAGAAAUAUUGUCCUAUUGGGGAUAAUUACUGAAGUAGUAUAGAACUCUAAUUACCACUGCGGUGACAAAACAUUUAUUUAGAGAGUGAAGAUACUCUACGCAUACUCAUUCUAUGCAACUGCAAGAUACUGUUAGAAGCAAGAUGCACAUUAUAAAUGUUAAAGUCAAUGAAUACAGAGCAACGUUUUAUGUGGUGGAAUUUUGUAGAAUACGCAUGAACUCACGUUGGACAGUACAAUCGAAAUGAGGUUUAAGGGGCCUAAUGUGAGUAGCUCCAAUUGAGGACAAGUUGAAGGAGGCUGGGCUACACUGGUACGGGCAUAUCCAGCGGAGACCCAAGAGUUAUAUCAGUGGGAUGGCUCUUGACGAAAGAUGGCUAAUGGGGAGACCAAAGACUCUGUACGCAGACCAGGUAUCAGUGGACUCCGGAGAGACCAAUCUGCAUGACAGCCGAGAAGAAGGAUACAAGAGUCGCCAACCCCGAAUAAGCGAAGUGUCAAGAACGAGGGGGCAGCAGCAUGAACUCAUCUGUGUAAACACACACACACACACUCUAUAAUGGUCUGGAGUUCUUUUUUAAAAAUCUAUAUUAGAAUGAACAGUCAAAUUAGUGGUUUGAAAAAGUCAUUUUUAAAUACUCCUUCACAGAGUACUACUUGAUUUUCAUGAGCUUAUAUUCUUACUGAAAGAUAAUUUUGCUUAGAUGUAGUUGCUGUACUGCAGGAAUUAAUUCAGAAAGUAACCUUUAAUAAAAUUUAAAAAAAAAAUCUCCCCCUCUUCCCAGAACAGUAAAAUUUUAUUCUGCACCAACUAACUGUUGCUCACAGUAACAUCCAUGGGUAGGUGCAGUCAAUCAUAUCACUAGUUACUUCAGUCAUGGAAGGGUCCUUUGGUAACUUCAGUGAAACCAAAAUUACACAUUUCUGAUGUUUAGUCAACUAAAUUUCUGUUUCCACACAGAAGAGCAACAUAAGGAUACAAAUAAAAGGCAAAUGACUACAAGCAGGUUCUGGGUUAGAUAUUGAUAACUCUACAAUAGUUAAAAGAAAGCAUGUACUGUACUUCUCAUCCACCACUAACCAUGAAGUCAGCUUUGUCCUUUGAGAGAUACAAUAACCUUCAGUCUUUAAUAGCCAUCAAUUAAGUACAUUUGUACGGGACAUAUUUUUAAACUUAAAUAUUGAUUUACUGGAAUAAUUUAUUGAACUGAUUAAGAUGCAGGUUUACUAAUUGACGAGGAAAUGAUGAAUGGAAAAAGACAGUAAAAUGACAAAUUAGCACAGCUCUGGGGAUUUUUAUAAAUUUUAAUUGCUACUAUAAUUUCAGAGUCAGGUUGCUUAUUUAGAAAGAUUGACAGAAAUGCUCCUUGAGAAGGAAAGACAAUACACCAAGUCAAUGUCAUUCUGGCAUGGUAGAUUUAUUUUUGUAAUCCUGACUUAUAUCGACGCCAGCUUUGCAGAAAGGUCAUCUGCUAUUAAUUCAAUACAAAGUUCACCUGUUUAAUUCUGUUUAAGGUUUUCAUAGAAACCAAAGAAGAAACUAAAAACUAAGUCUGGUUCUGUAAAGAAGGGUAUCAGAUAUUGGCCACUGCUGGAGGAAGACACCAGACUAGAUGGGACAUUUCCUAGUAUUACAGGUUAUAUCAAAAUAUUAAUGUUUAACAGAAGUGAAAAUGGAGGGAGGGAGGGAGGGAGGGAGAGAGAGAGGGAGAGAGAGAGAGAGAAAAAAAAAAAAAAUCGCUACUGGUUAUACUGUGGGCAUUAUGCAUGUCAGACUGGAAUAACUUCUUUAUGUAAGCAUAUACUUAGGACCUUAAAAAAAAAAAGCCUUUUAUGGAGAUGAAUCAAUAUAGCUCCUCUGGAGCUGUUAAUGUUUCAUCAUUUAAAUAUGUAGUCAUCAUUUUAGGAGCCAUAUUAAUUACAAAAUGGAACACAAUAGCUCUGUUGGAGCCUUUCCAGUCUAUUACAUGUUUAGGAUAUUUAUUUAGCACCAUCAGUGCUCAUAGCACGUUAUUGUAAAGUUUGCCAAACGAAGAAUAAAGAUCAGAAUCCCUACCCAAAAACGAACUAUGAAAAAAGAGAACACUCAACUGUGCUGUUGGUAUAAUUUCUUUGAAAAUUGAGAAAUAUUAAUGUUUAAAAUCUAUUUUGGGACAGAUGUUAAAAAAAGAACAGCAGUGAAAUGUCACUGCCCUGGCUGCUCAGGUGAAGGGAAGAUCACAAAUCAUGUAUGGCAAGUCCCCCCCCACCCCACACACCCAAAGCGAUUCCCGCCCCAUCACCGAAAGCACGUUCCGGAGCUGUUACUGGCUAUGAGAGAAGUACACCUAUUCCUUCAAGAGCUGUAGCUCACGAAAGCUUAUGCUCAAAUAAAUUGCAAAUGGACAGGACCUUUGAGCAAAGGGGAUCCCAACCCUUGUGGAAAGUCUGCAAAGACCUGGGGCCCAGCUAAGACAGAAAGACUGAGGAGUGACCUCUGUCAGGUUGAAACUGACGGAGCAUGCUUCAAGUUGGCUUUUGACAUGCUUUUGAAAAACCACCACUCACACUACAACACUUAUUCAAAAGUCAAAACAUAACAUAUGAACAAGCAAUUACUUGGUCUGCAACUCUGGACUGAAAAAAUGCACAGAACUCAAGCUCACAGCACUACACCAUCAAAAGAAGUCUAAGCACACAUCCCCUCUCCUUAAAUUUGUGUCUGUUUCUAUUGUACAGUAUGAAGUUUCUAUAAAGGGGUUUCUAAAUCAGGAAGAUGGUAUGAAGAAAACAACAUACUUGUGUUAUAUGGCAAAAUAGAACACACUGAAGACUACAAACAAAAGGCCUCUCUACUAUAGGAAAAACUUGAUCCAGCCGAGAAAAUGUAUUUGAAGUCUUCUACAAAUUUAUUACAUAUCUUUAAAAGUAUUUUCUUGGGCUAGUAACUGUCCUGUGGUAGGUGUUGUGUCUACGUUCCGCUGACUCACUAAGGCAAGUAGCUCAAUACGGUUGAAUAUAAAGGAGGUGGGAGUGGGCUAAUAGAGAGCAGCUACAGGACAUGAGUUGAGCAGUCCUAAGCUAAAAAACCCAGGAAAAAAUCAACGCUGGAAUCAGUGACUGAGCUGAACACUAUGUAGUAUUAUUAUUAAUUUCUGUGUUAAAGCAGCCAGUGGGGUCCUAAUCCAAGACUAGGGCUCCUAGGUGUUAUGAUAAUACAAACAAUGACAAUAAUCAGGAGGGAGGAAUUUUAGACUCUACCACAUAUGUGGACUACUUUAGAGCAGUUUGGGAAAGGCACCAAAUCACACAUAUAUCAGCAUCAAUAUUUUAAAGUUAUUGUGCCCAUUAAACACUCACUG